Molecule: ribosomal RNA, 563 nt
Filed under: uncultured bacterium
Lineage: Bacteria
Description: partial 16S ribosomal RNA
Rfam family: Bacterial small subunit ribosomal RNA
Source: RNAcentral
UGGGGAAUAUUGCACAAUGGGCGAAAGCCUGAUGCAGCAACGCCGCGUGAGUGAUGAAGGCCUUCGGGUUGUAAAGCUCUGUCUUUUGGGACGAUAAUGACGGUACCAAAGGAGGAAGCCACGGCUAACUACGUGCCAGCAGCCGCGGUAAUACGUAGGUGGCAAGCGUUGUCCGGAUUUACUGGGCGUAAAGGAUGCGUAGGCGGAUUUUUAAGUGAGAUGUGAAAACCCUAAGCUUAACUUGGGGGACUGCAUUUCAUACUGGAAAUCUAGAGUGCGGGAGAGGAGAAUGGAAUUCCUAGUGUAGCGGUGAAAUGCGUAGAGAUUAGGAAGAACACCAGUGGCGAAGGCGAUUCUCUGGACCGUAACUGACGCUGAGGCAUGAAAGCGUGGGUAGCAAACAGGAUUAGAUACCCUGGUAGUCCACGCCGUAAACGAUGAGUACUAGGUGUAGGAGGUAUCGACCCCUUCUGUGCCGCAGUUAACACAAUAAGUACUCCGCCUGGGAAGUACGAUCGCAAGAUUAAAACUUAAAUGAAUUGACGGGGUCAUAGCUGUUUCCU